CCUACGGGCGGCAGCAGUGAGGAAUAUUGGUCAAUGGACGAGAGUCUGAACCAGCCAAGUAGCGUGAAGGAUGACUGCCCUAUGGGUUGUAAACUUCUUUUAUAUGGGAAUAAAAUGUUCCACGUGUGGGAUUUUGUAUGUACCAUAUGAAUAAGGAUCGGCUAACUCCGUGCCAGCAGCCGCGGUAAUACGGAGGAUCCGAGCGUUAUCCGGGUUUAUUGGGUUUAAAGGGAGCGUAGGUGGAUUGUUAAGUCAGUUGUGAAAGUUUGCGGCUCAACCGUAAAAUUGCAGUUGAAACUGGCAGUCUUGAGUACAGUAGAGGUGUGCGGAAUUCGUGGUGUAGCGGUGAAAUGCUUAGAUAUCACGAAGAACUCCGAUUGCGAAGGCAGUUCACUGGACUGCAACUGACACUGAGGCUCGAAAGUGUGGGUAUCAAACAGGAUUAGAUACCCGAGUAGUC
Molecule: ribosomal RNA, 460 nt
Filed under: uncultured bacterium
Lineage: Bacteria
Description: partial 16S ribosomal RNA
Rfam family: Bacterial small subunit ribosomal RNA
Source: RNAcentral